GUCCUCACUUUAGCAGCCCGUAUACUAAAACUGGAACAAUACAGAGAAGAUUAGCAUGGCCCCUGUGCAAGGAUGACACACGACUUCAUGAAGUGUUUCAUAUUUUU
This 107-nucleotide small nuclear RNA is filed under the name Ovis aries (sheep). Lineage: Eukaryota; Metazoa; Chordata; Mammalia; Artiodactyla; Bovidae. The record is from RNAcentral.